RNAcentral lists this long non-coding RNA (332 nucleotides) under Elaeis guineensis (African oil palm). RNAcentral describes it as "long non-coding RNA (EGUI_LNC051127)". Lineage: Eukaryota; Viridiplantae; Streptophyta; Magnoliopsida; Arecales; Arecaceae. The record is from RNAcentral.
AUUAAUCAAAUCCUUGAGUAUGGUCAGAAAUAAUUAGUUUUGUGUAUCCAAAUUUUAUUUUGAUUAAGAGUCAAUUAGGCAUCCUAAUCAAUGAAUGAUUAAUGGUCAAGAUAAGUUUAGAGAUACUGAGGAAUAAAUUAUUAAGAAAAUCUAAUGAAUGGUAGGGUUUAGACUAGACUAAAUUUUAGGAGUGAUUCUACAACCCUCUUCUUACUGAUCUCAAUAAAGAAUCUGCUUCAUGAGAGAUUGGGUGGAAAGGUCGAGGUAUGCAAAAAUUCUCCUUAAAAUUUAUUUAAAAAAAAAAUAUUGGUUUCCUACUGAGUAACCGGGCC